This 516-nucleotide ribosomal RNA is filed under the name uncultured fungus. Its description in RNAcentral is "SSU rRNA". It matches the Rfam family "Eukaryotic small subunit ribosomal RNA", at positions 214 to 732 of the family's 1831-position model. Lineage: Eukaryota; Fungi. The record is from RNAcentral.
AUAAAAAACCAAUGCCUUCGGGCUCCUUGGUGAUUCAUGAUAACUUAACGAAUCGCAUGGCCUUGCGCCGGCGAUGGUUCAUUCAAAUUUCUGCCCUAUCAACUUUCGAUGGUAGGAUAGUGGCCUACCAUGGUUUCAACGGGUAACGGGGAAUUAGGGUUCGAUUCCGGAGAGGGAGCCUGAGAAACGGCUACCACAUCCAAGGAAGGCAGCAGGCGCGCAAAUUACCCAAUCCCAAUUCGGGGAGGUAGUGACAAUAAAUACUGAUACAGGGCUCUUUUGGGUCUUGUAAUUGGAAUGAGUACAAUUUAAAUCCCUUAACGAGGAACAAUUGGAGGGCAAGUCUGGUGCCGGCAGCCGCGGUAAUUCCAGCUCCAAUAGCGUAUAUUAAAGUUGUUGCAGUUAAAAAGCUCGUAGUUGAACCUUGGGUCUGGCUGCCCGGUCCGCCUAACCGCGUGCACUGGUGCGGCCGGAUCUUUCCUUCUGGCUAACCUCAUGCCCUUUACUGGGUGUGCU